AAAAUACGGAGUUUGAUCUUGGCUCAGAUUGAACGCUGGCGGCAUGCCUAACACAUGCAAGUCGAACGGUAGCAGGCCUUCGGGUGCUGACGAGUGGCGGACGGGUGAGUAAUGCGUAGGAAUCUGUCUUUUAGUGGGGGACAACCCAGGGAAACUUGGGCUAAUACCGCAUGAGCCCUGAGGGGGAAANCGGGGGGAUCUUCGGACCUCGCGCUAAGNGAAGAGCCUACGUCUGAUUAGCUAGUUGGUAGGGUAAAGGCCUACCAAGGCGACGAUCAGUAGCUGGUCUGAGAGGACGACCAGCCACACUGGGACUGAGACACGGCCCAGACUCCUACGGGAGGCAGCAGUGGGGAAUUUUUCGCAAUGGGGGCAACCCUGACGAAGCAAUGCCGCGUGGAUGAAGAAGGCCU
Molecule: ribosomal RNA, 413 nt
Filed under: Acidithiobacillus ferrivorans
Lineage: Bacteria; Pseudomonadati; Pseudomonadota; Acidithiobacillia; Acidithiobacillales; Acidithiobacillaceae
Description: bacterial SSU rRNA
Rfam family: Bacterial small subunit ribosomal RNA
Source: RNAcentral